UACGUAGGGGGCAAGCGUUGUCCGGAAUCAUUGGGCGUAAAGCGCGCGUAGGCGGCUAGAUCAGUCUGCUGUAAAAGUCAAAGGCUCAACCUUUGAAAGCCGGUGGAUACUGUCUAGCUAGAGUCCGGAAGAGGCGAGUGGAAUUCCUGGUGUAGCGGUGGAAUGCGCAGAUAUCAGGAGGAACACCAACGGCGAAGGCAGCUCGCUGGGACGGUACUGACGCUAAGGAGCGAAAGCGUGGGGAGCGAACAGG
RNAcentral lists this ribosomal RNA (253 nucleotides) under uncultured bacterium. RNAcentral's name for it is "partial 16S ribosomal RNA". It matches the Rfam family "Bacterial small subunit ribosomal RNA", at positions 524 to 776 of the family's 1533-position model. The record is from RNAcentral.